Molecule: transfer RNA, 108 nt
Filed under: Candidatus Poribacteria bacterium
Lineage: Bacteria; Candidatus Poribacteria
Description: tRNA-OTHER
Rfam family: tRNA
About the family: Transfer RNA (tRNA) molecules are approximately 80 nucleotides in length.
Source: RNAcentral
GAAGCAAGUAGCUCAGUUGGGAGAGCACCCGCCCGUAUGAGUAGCGUACUGCAGUCGUGAAAGUACAAAGAGGCGGGAGGUCGCAGGUUCAAAUCCUGCCUUGCUUCU